Molecule: ribosomal RNA, 328 nt
Filed under: uncultured eukaryote
Lineage: Eukaryota
Description: partial 18S ribosomal RNA
Rfam family: Eukaryotic small subunit ribosomal RNA
Source: RNAcentral
CCCUUAGAUGUCCUGGGCCGCACGCGCGUUACACUGAUGCAUUCAACGAGCUUAUAACCUUGGCCGAGAGGCCUGGGCAAUCUUGUUAACGUGCAUCGUGAUAGGGAUAGAUUAUUGAAAUUAUUAAUCUUGAACGAGGAAUUCCCAGUAAACGCAGAUCAUCAAUCUGCAUUGAUUACGUCCCUGCCCUUUGUACACACCGUCCGUCGCACCUACCGAUUGGAUGGUCCGGUGAAGCCUCGGGAUUGUGGUUCUUGCCGCUUUAUUGUGGCGUGACCGCGAGAACUUGUCUAAACCUUAUCAUCUAGAGGAAGGUGAAGUCGUAACA